This 255-nucleotide ribosomal RNA is filed under the name uncultured bacterium. Its description in RNAcentral is "partial 16S ribosomal RNA". It matches the Rfam family "Bacterial small subunit ribosomal RNA", at positions 524 to 776 of the family's 1533-position model. The record is from RNAcentral.
UACGGGGGGGGGCAAGCGUUGUUCGGAAUUACUGGGCGUAAAGGGCGCGUAGGCGGUUGGAUAAGUCAGCUGUGAAAACCACGGGCUUAACUCGUGGCCUGCAGUUGAGACUGUCUGGCUUGAGUGUGGGAGAGGAGAGUGGAAUUCCUGGUGUAGCGGUGAAAUGCGUAGAUAUCAGGAGGAACACCGGUGGCGAAGGCGGCUCUCUGGACCACAACUGACGCUGAGGCGCGAAAAGCUAGGGGAGCAAACAGG